Molecule: long non-coding RNA, 787 nt
Organism: Dama dama (fallow deer)
Lineage: Eukaryota; Metazoa; Chordata; Mammalia; Artiodactyla; Cervidae
Exons: 5
Source: RefSeq, a predicted model, not a curated record
CACGGCCACAGGCAGGCUUAGAGAAGUAGAGACAAAGGAGGAAAUGGAAGAGCACAAAGGCAGCAAGGAAUGAAAGGAUAACCCCUCUCCACCACUGAAACUCAUAAACUGCACCCCUUCUGACACCCACUUCCAUAUGCAAAAUUCAAGUCCGUUUCAAGGUGGCUGAUCCCCUCCAGAGAAGGGCAGUAAAGCUGAGUCCCAGAAGGAUAAGGUUCUGCAGUCUGUGACCCAUUUUCUCUCAUGACUUUACGGCUGCUGGGAGCAAGAAACGUCCUGGCAGCCCUGUUCGGUGGCUAACAGAGAGGCCCACCCACGAGGCUGGGCUGGUGUGCCUGGCUUCUGCUGCCAAGACAUUUCUGCUCUGGCUACAAACACCUUGCGAGAUUGAAGGUGCCUUCUAAUUCUCUGCAAACCCACAGUAUGAUCACCAGCCAGGUUUUGGCGCUUGUGGAGCUCAGAACUGCGUGCAGUGAGAAAAGACCAGAACAUCCUCCUCCUGGAAAGGUGAAAGCCCUGACCCACAGAUCACCUAAUUCAAUUUCCAGGCAGCCUUCUGACAGGGACAGCUUCCUGGGCCUUCAGCCUGUGUGGCUGCGCAGGGCCUUGCGCUCAGAAGGGCCCUGGGCUUGACUGAACGCUCUGCUGUCACCAUCUUGAAUUCUUAAUCAUCUGAAACAAAGGCACCAUGUAUCAUUUUGCAGUGGGCCCUGCAAGUUGUGGCAGCAGGUCCUGCCCCUCACCCCCACUUCCCACUGUGUUCUGAUGAAGAAGGAAGCACAGGCCA